Molecule: ribosomal RNA, 210 nt
Filed under: Triticum aestivum (bread wheat)
Lineage: Eukaryota; Viridiplantae; Streptophyta; Magnoliopsida; Poales; Poaceae
Description: partial small subunit ribosomal RNA
Source: RNAcentral
AUGUUCCCCAACAGUUCGGCCUCUCCGUCAUCAUGGCUGCGGUAUGGUUCACUGCCGAUGACCAGAUGCCCCGACUGCCCAUGCAUCGCGCCACUGAAGCGUUUGACAACCAUAUCAGAGAAGAAUGGAAACCAUGGGCGGGAAUUUGUGAAAUGCGAGAGCAAACCAGAAGCGGGGAAGAAGCUGAAAACAUGCAAGCAUUUUGAGUAG